GCGUUCUUGUCGGGGUGCGCUACGAGGCGCUGAGAUCGGGUAGUCCCGGAUCCCGUUGAACCUGAUCAGGCUAGGCGCGCCGCAUGGCGGUGCGUCAACCUGCGUAGGGAACAAGAGGGCGUCCGCA
Regulatory RNA element from Pseudomonas oryzihabitans, 127 nucleotides. It matches the Rfam family "TPP riboswitch aptamer (THI element)". From Rfam's summary of the family: Vitamin B(1) in its active form thiamin pyrophosphate (TPP) is an essential coenzyme that is synthesised by coupling of pyrimidine and thiazole moieties in bacteria. The record is from Rfam. NCBI's taxonomy places the organism in Bacteria, Pseudomonadati, Pseudomonadota, Gammaproteobacteria, Pseudomonadales, Pseudomonadaceae.